RNAcentral lists this ribosomal RNA (396 nucleotides) under uncultured bacterium. RNAcentral's name for it is "partial 16S ribosomal RNA". It matches the Rfam family "Bacterial small subunit ribosomal RNA", at positions 523 to 918 of the family's 1533-position model. The record is from RNAcentral.
AUACGAAGGGUGCAAGCGUUAAUCGGAAUUACUGGGCGUAAAGCGCGCGUAGGUGGUUCGUUAAGUUGGAUGUGAAAGCCCCGGGCUCAACCUGGGAACUGCAUCCAAAACUGGCGAGCUAGAGUAUAGCAGAGGGUGGUGGAAUUUCCUGUGUAGCGGUGAAAUGCGUAGAUAUAGGAAGGAACACCAGUGGCGAAGGCGACCCCCUGGGCAAAACCUGACCUGGAGGGGCAAAAGCUGGGGGAGCAAACAGGAUUAGAUACCCGGGAAGUCCACGCCGUAAACGAUGUCGACUAGCCGUUGGGAUCCUUGAGAUCUUAGUGGCGCAGCUAACGCAUUAAGUCGACCGCCUGGGGAGUACGGCCGCAAGGUUAAAACUCAAAUGAAUUGACGGGG